UACGAAGGGGGCUAGCGUUGCUCGGAAUCACUGGGCGUAAAGCGCACGUAGGCGGGCUCUUAAGUCAGGGGUGAAAUCCUGGAGCUCAACUCCAGAACUGCCUUUGAUACUGGGAAUCUCGAGUCCGGGAGAGGUGAGUGGAACUGCGAGUGUAGAGGUGAAAUUCGUAGAUAUUCGCAAGAACACCAGUGGCGAAGGCGGCUCACUGGCCCGGUACUGACGCUGAGGUGCGAAAGCGUGGGGAGCAAACAGG
This 253-nucleotide ribosomal RNA is filed under the name uncultured bacterium. RNAcentral describes it as "partial 16S ribosomal RNA". It matches the Rfam family "Bacterial small subunit ribosomal RNA", at positions 524 to 776 of the family's 1533-position model. The record is from RNAcentral.